Molecule: long non-coding RNA, 227 nt
Organism: Astyanax mexicanus (Mexican tetra)
Lineage: Eukaryota; Metazoa; Chordata; Actinopteri; Characiformes; Acestrorhamphidae
Exons: 2
Source: RefSeq, a predicted model, not a curated record
UUCACGGCGAUGGCAAUCCCAUGAUGCAUUUCACAAGCUCAGAGUUCCAGCGCUCAGAUUUAAAAACAUGGCGGACGGAGCCGGCACUGCGAGGGAGUUUCUGUACAAAUGGAUGAACGCGGGCCAGGGAAGGUGAACUCUGGUCAGACUGGCUGGAGGCAGCGUUAGCUCCCAUUAUGAAUAGUUUUUUUUCUUUGAAUUUAAUAAAGUUUUCUCUCUUAACAUUA